AACGAACGCUGGCGGCAUGCCUAACACAUGCAAGUCGAACGCCUGUAGCAAUACAGGAGUGGCAGACGGGUGAGUAACACGUGGGAAUCUACCCAGUAGCUCGGAAUAACCGCGGGAAACUGCGGCUAAUACCGGAUACGCCCCGAAGGGGAAAGGAGCAAUCCACUAUUGGAGGAGCCCGCGUCUGAUUAGCUAGUUGGUGAGGUAACGGCUCACCAAGGCGACGAUCAGUAGCUGGUUUGAGAGAACGACCAGCCACACUGGGACUGAGACACGGCCCAGACUCCUACGGGAGGCAGCAGUGGGGAAUAUUGGACAAUGGGGGAAACCCUGAUCCAGCAAUGCCGCGUGGGUGAUGAAGGCCUUCGGGUUGUAAAGCCCUUUUGUCGGGGACGAUGAUGACGGUACCCGACGAAUAAGCUCCGGCUAACUUCGUGCCAGCCGCCGCCGUAA
Molecule: ribosomal RNA, 453 nt
Filed under: uncultured bacterium
Lineage: Bacteria
Description: partial 16S ribosomal RNA
Rfam family: Bacterial small subunit ribosomal RNA
Source: RNAcentral